This 453-nucleotide ribosomal RNA is filed under the name Phrynosoma mcallii (Flat-tail horned lizard). Its description in RNAcentral is "partial 12S ribosomal RNA". It matches the Rfam family "Bacterial large subunit ribosomal RNA", at positions 1931 to 2571 of the family's 2925-position model. Lineage: Eukaryota; Metazoa; Chordata; Lepidosauria; Squamata; Phrynosomatidae. The record is from RNAcentral.
CCGCGGUAUCCUAACCGUGCAAAGGUAGCGUAAUCACUUGUCCCCUAAAUAGAGACCUGUAUGAAUGGCUAAAUGAGGACUAAACUGUCUCUUUUUAUUAAUCAGUAAAACUGAUCUACCAGUACAAAAGCUGGUAUUUUAUCAUAAGACGAGAAGACCCUGUGGAGCUUUAAAUUAAAGGCCAAAACAACAAAGCUUACCGAACUUAACUAAAUGGCCUAAAAUUUUAAGUUGGGGCGACUUCGGAACAAAACAAAACUUCCGAGCAUAAAGGAAAUUUUCCUCACCUAGACCAACAAGUCAAAGCAAAAAUCGACCCAGUACACACUGAUCACCGAACCAAGUUACCCCAGGGAUAACAGCGCAAUCUUCUUCAAGAGUCCAUAUCGACAAGAAGGUUUACGACCUCGAUGUUGGAUCAGGACACCCAAAUGGUGCAACAGCUAUUAAANG